UGCGUAGGCGGCGGCCCAAGUCUGGUGUGAAAUCUCCCGGCUUAACCGGGAGGGUGCGCUAGAAACUGGGUUGCUGGAGUACCGGAGAGGCAGGCGGAAUUCCUGGUGUAGCGGUGAAAUGCGUAGAUAUCAGGAGGAACACCCGUGGUGUAGACGGCCUGCUGGACGGUCACUGACGCUGAGGCACGAAAGCGUGGGGAGCAAACA
This 207-nucleotide ribosomal RNA is filed under the name uncultured bacterium. RNAcentral describes it as "partial 16S ribosomal RNA". It matches the Rfam family "Bacterial small subunit ribosomal RNA", at positions 568 to 774 of the family's 1533-position model. The record is from RNAcentral.